AACGGGGUGUGGCCGGAGAGGACUUUUUUCAUUAGUCCUGGAUCACACACAGGCGGUAAGGUGUCUGUGCCUCUGAAGCCAACCCGUAAUGCAUGAUCAGCACAAAGCCCUGAGCAGUGGAAGCUGACCUAACAUGACGCAAAGCCUGUUGACAAGGAAGCAGAGCGUGUUUCGUGGAAUCCUGCAGAUUCGGUCAGAGGAGAUUUCUGUCCCUAGAGGCAGAAAACUGCUGCAACUUGCCCUCCAAGAGGUGUGGACCAAAGAGGAAGCUGAUGAAAAUCUAACUGCCUGCCUCAAUGUCUCUUGAAAUGGAUGCUCCAAAGGAUGUUUUUACUUAGAAUCCCUAAUCAGCCGAUUUUUAAACAGAUUGAUUUGAGGAACAGAUGGACUCUGGAUGAAGCUGUAAUCCGGAGGUUGCCACUGAUUUCUGUUGACAGUUUUAAACCCCACCUAUUUGUCAACAGUGGGAACUCUUCUGGGGGAAUGCUCUGUUCCUGAAAGAGAAGAAUGUUUCCAUUCUGACCACCGAAUAAAGAGAGAAUGGAUCUAGGCAGGAGUGAUUUGACUGAAGUUAAAUAGGUUUUAAUAUAAAAAGGCUAGCAGAUUCCAAUGGAAGUGAAUACAGUUGGUCUGUAUUUACACACAGGGAUUAAGCAAACUAAUCCGAUGGGAGUCUGUGCCGGCGAUUGUUUGGGAGCAAGAUAGAUCCAUCUGCGUGUAAAGAAUUGUGAAUGAAUGAGGAUCUAUGGCUCAGUGGGCAGGGGGGGCAUGGGGGAGACCACCAGUCUGACUAAUCAGACAUUCACAUUUCCCACUGUUUUGUUCUAUUGUAUCCAAAUGUGAGAAGCUGCUCUCCAGUCCCCCACAUACAAAGCUCUUUAUUGGACUUUACUGUGGCAUGAUCCCGGCUGCUUUACUCCAACUGCCAGCCUCAGAAGGAGUUUUGCUUGAUGGUGUCUGGCAGCUUGGCUUUGCUUCAGUAGAUUUAUGAGCUGUGAAAGAUGGUCAAAUUAACACCCUAAGCGUUCCUGAUAGGAUUAGAGGCCUGCAUUAGCAUACCACCCUGAAGUACCACACUAUCUCUGUGUCUUCCCAGCCCUUCUGGGUGGGGUUUGGAGAGGGUAAGUGGGAGGUGAUGCCACACACCCCUCUCCCAGCUGGCAACACAAAGGGUCACCAUGUGAUUCCAGAUGAUGUUAUUUGGCAUUUAAUAUCUAAUGGCAGUGUCUCCCAAUCAAAAGAACUGAACUGAAGUGGUGAAUGCAUCCCUUUUCAGGGCUGGAUGCCCAUCCUUGCUCUCAUGGAGAGAAAGAGCCGUCUCGUCUUUGGGGUGAGAUUGACAAUCCAACCACCCUAACCAGGACUGGAGUGGACCUUAAAAUAUCCAUUUAAGUCAUAAUGAUUACUGAUUGUUCUGAUUAUAAUGGUAACACAUAUUUAUUGUAGAAAAUUUGGAAAAUGAUGAAAAAUACAGCAAAGUAAAAAUCACCCAUCAUCCCAUUACUUAGAGAUAGCUUGCCAUUAACAUUUUGGUGUAUUAAUUUAUUGAUAAUCUGUUUUCUAUGCAUGUAGACAGGUGAUUUGUUAUUUUUGCUUUAACAAAGUGGGAUCAUAUUGUUUAUCCUAAAUCUUUUAAUAUUAUAUCCAAUACAUUUUAAUAAAUUUCUUCUGCUGGGCGCGGUAAUCCCAGCACUUUGGGAGGCCAAGGCAGGUGGAUCAUCUGAAGUCGGGAGUUUGAGACCAGCCUGGCCAACAUGGUGAAACCUUGUCUCUACUAAAAAUACAAAAAUUAGCUGGGCAUGGUGACGCAUGUCUGUAAUACCAGCUACUUGGGAGGCUGAGGCAAGAGAAUCACUUGAACCUGGGAGG
RNAcentral lists this long non-coding RNA (1869 nucleotides) under Homo sapiens (human). RNAcentral's name for it is "HSALNT0166371". Lineage: Eukaryota; Metazoa; Chordata; Mammalia; Primates; Hominidae. The record is from RNAcentral.